UCCUGCAACUGCUCAAAUCUGCCGCUACGAGUCUCAAGCGCUGUUUUUCACUUGCAAAUCUACAUUUCGCUCUCUCGCUCUUCUGCACCAAAAAUCACUGUGACAUUUGGUGCAAAAGUUACUUGUGUAUCUGCCAACCAAAACGUGGGCUCUCAGAGAAAUUCAGCCAAUAGGGGAUGGGGCGUGACGUCACCGCUCUAGCGCUGCGGAGGCUGAACGUCGAAACCGAAACCCCCUUUGCGAGAUUCGCUGCAUCUAUACCUGAUUUGCGUUCAAAAAUGCCUGCUUAAUUAUUUCAUAGUAGGAGCAAACAUGCCUUAAGAAAAUGAGUAGGUUUGAAACUUUAGUAACCAUAAAAAGUACGCCAGGUGGAUGCCUUUCUACUCCAGGAAGCCGCAGCCUACGGCCUGAAGGAGGAAGAGGACGCGGUCAGUUUGAAAUAGCUGAAUCGAUGACAUCCUGAAAGCAGCAAUACAAUUAAGCUGGGCCAGUUCUUCAGAUGAUCAGAGGGACUUCGCCAUCAUCACAUCCCUCAUUGCUGCAGUCAGACUGAAACAGGACGGUGAUGCAUGGCAGUCCAUGCCCGAGAUACGGAUGAUGAAGAGACCACAGCAAC
This is a non-coding RNA of Danio rerio (zebrafish), 616 nucleotides long. The record is from RefSeq and is a predicted model, not a curated record. NCBI's taxonomy places the organism in Eukaryota, Metazoa, Chordata, Actinopteri, Cypriniformes, Danionidae.